GCCGCUAUUGCGGCAUACAGGGUCCAGUCGCAUAAAGCCCCGAAUUUUCGGGGUUUUUUGUUAUCAGGGAAUCGUAACACUGGGCUAUAAGCCCUUUUUUU
This is a regulatory RNA element of Erwinia sp., 101 nucleotides long. It matches the Rfam family "Gammaprotebacteria rimP leader". The record is from Rfam. Lineage: Bacteria; Pseudomonadati; Pseudomonadota; Gammaproteobacteria; Enterobacterales; Erwiniaceae.